This 459-nucleotide ribosomal RNA is filed under the name uncultured Enterococcus sp. Its description in RNAcentral is "bacterial SSU rRNA". It matches the Rfam family "Bacterial small subunit ribosomal RNA", at positions 341 to 792 of the family's 1533-position model. The record is from RNAcentral. Lineage: Bacteria; Bacillati; Bacillota; Bacilli; Lactobacillales; Enterococcaceae.
ACGGGAGGCAGCAGUAGGGAAUCUUCGGCAAUGGACGAAAGUCUGACCGAGCAACGCCGCGUGAGUGAAGAAGGUUUUCGGAUCGUAAAACUCUGUUGUUAGAGAAGAACAAGGACGUUAGUAACUGAACGUCCCCUGACGGUAUCUAACCAGAAAGCCACGGCUAACUACGUGCCAGCAGCCGCGGUAAUACGUAGGUGGCAAGCGUUGUCCGGAUUUAUUGGGCGUAAAGCGAGCGCAGGCGGUUUCUUAAGUCUGAUGUGAAAGCCCCCGGCUCAACCGGGGAGGGUCAUUGGAAACUGGGAGACUUGAGUGCAGAAGAGGAGAGUGGAAUUCCAUGUGUAGCGGUGAAAUGCGUAGAUAUAUGGAGGAACACCAGUGGCGAAGGCGGCUCUCUGGUCUGUAACUGACGCUGAGGCUCGAAAGCGUGGGGAGCAAACAGGAUUAGAUACCCUGGUA